AACGAACGCUGGCGGCAGGCUUAACACAUGCAAGUCGAACGCACCGCAAGGUGAGUGGCAGACGGGUGAGUAACGCGUGGGAACCUUCCUUUUAGUAAAGAAUAGCCCAGGGAAACUUGGAUUAAUACUUUAUACGCCCUACGGGGGAAAGAUUUAUCGCUAAAAGAUGGGCCCGCGUUGGAUUAGCUAGUUGGUGAGGUAAUGGCUCACCAAGGCUACGAUCUAUAGCUGAUCUGAGAGGAUGAUCAGCCACGCUGGAACUGAGACACGGUCCAGACUCCUACGGGAGGCAGCAGUGGAGAAUAUUGGACAAUGGGCGCAAGCCUGAUCCAGCCAUGCCGCGUGAAUGACGAAGGCCUUCGGGUUGUAAAGUUCUUUAGCAGGGGAAAAUCAUGAUGGUACCCUGAAAAUAAGCUCCGGCUAACUUCGUGCCAGCCGCCGCCGUAA
This 447-nucleotide ribosomal RNA is filed under the name uncultured bacterium. RNAcentral describes it as "partial 16S ribosomal RNA". It matches the Rfam family "Bacterial small subunit ribosomal RNA", at positions 29 to 523 of the family's 1533-position model. The record is from RNAcentral.